RNAcentral lists this small RNA (28 nucleotides) under Bombyx mori (domestic silkworm). RNAcentral's name for it is "ovarian small RNA-21762". The record is from RNAcentral. Lineage: Eukaryota; Metazoa; Arthropoda; Insecta; Lepidoptera; Bombycidae.
UAGAAAUCGAUUUGCAUACCAAAAGUUG